UAGGAACCGUGAGAUUAAGCCAUCGCGGCAGGUGCUCACGUUAAGCCCACUGACUUUCAUGUCCCUAUCUACUAUCUAGCGAAACCACAGCCAAGGGAACGGGCUUGGAAUAAUUAGCGGGGAAAGAAGACCCUUUUGAGCUUGACUCUAAUCUGGCAGUGUAAGGAGACAUAAGAGGUGUAGAAUAAGUGGGAGAUAUUAGACUUCGGUUUGGUAUCGACAAUGAAAUACCACUACUCUUAUUGUUUCCUUACUUACUUGAUUAAAUGGAACGUGUAUCAUUUCCUAGCCAUUAUACGGAUAUAAUUAUUAUGUCUUAUGGUAUUGGGUUUUGAUGCAAGCUUCUUGAUCAAAGUAUCACGAGUUUGUUAUAUAAUCGCAAACAAAUUCUUUAAUGAGAGAAUGCAUUUAUGUAUUAUUGAUUUAAAAAUUUGGUAUAACUCCAAUUACUCAGGUAUGAUCCAAUUCAAGGACAUUGCCAGGUAGGGAGUUUGACUGGGGCGGUACAUCUCUCAAAUAAUAACGGAGGUGUCCCAAGGCCAGCUCAGUGCGGACAGAAACCACACAUAGAGCAAAAGGGCAAAUGCUGACUUGAUCUCGGUGUUCAGUACACACAGGGACAGCAAAAGCUCGGCCUAUCGAUCCUUUUGGUUUAAAGAG
Drosophila virilis is the source of this 660-nucleotide non-coding RNA. NCBI's taxonomy places the organism in Eukaryota, Metazoa, Arthropoda, Insecta, Diptera, Drosophilidae. The record is from Rfam.